CCUACUGGAGGCAGCAGUGAGGAAUAUUGGUCAAUGGACGCGAGUCUGAACCAGCCAAGUAGCGUGCAGGAUGACUGCCCUAUGGGUUGUAAACUUCUUUUAUAUGGGAAUAAAAUGUUCCACGUGUGGGCUUUUGUAUGUACCCUAUGAAUAAGGAUCGGCUAACUCCGUGCCAGCAGCCGCGGUAAUACGGAGGAUCCGAGCGUUAUCCGGAUUUAUUGGGUUUAAAGGGAGCGUAGGUGGAUUGUUAAGUCAGUUGUGAAAGUUUGCGGCUCAACCGUGGAAUUGCAGUUGAAACUGGCGGACUUGAGUACAGUAGAGGAAGGCGGAAUGCGUGGUGUAGCGGUGAAAUGCUUAGAUAUCACGAAGAACUCCGAUUGCGAAGGCAGCUCGCUGGACUGCAACUGACACUGAGGCUCGAAAGUGUGGGUAUCAAACAGGAUUAGAUACCCUAGUAGUC
This 460-nucleotide ribosomal RNA is filed under the name uncultured bacterium. Its description in RNAcentral is "partial 16S ribosomal RNA". It matches the Rfam family "Bacterial small subunit ribosomal RNA", at positions 338 to 795 of the family's 1533-position model. The record is from RNAcentral.